GACCUCAGAUCAGGCAAGACUACCCGCUG
RNAcentral lists this ribosomal RNA (29 nucleotides) under Zoanthus gigantus. RNAcentral's name for it is "partial 28S ribosomal RNA". Lineage: Eukaryota; Metazoa; Cnidaria; Anthozoa; Zoantharia; Zoanthidae. The record is from RNAcentral.